AUUAUUACAACCUUAUAUGCAGAUAAGAGGGUAGAUUCAUAGAACCGCAUUUUCUUAACAGCCUUUGAUACUUUCAUCUCCUGCUCCUUUUCAGUUGGCAGACGGAUGCGAUACCCGGGGAUGAUAUCUCUGAAAACGGCCAACAAAGACUGAAGGGAAAGUACCGCAAUGUCACGAUCACCAUCUUUAGAAAUCUCCAGCAUCUCCUUGAGAGAUUUGAUGUUUGAUUCAGGAUCAGUAAGCAGUGCAGUUCCCAGCUCAGCUAGUCUAAACUUCUUUUUUUGAUUGGCCUCUUCUGCUGUCAUAUCAUUUCUCACUUCGUCCAAGACUUCAGCUUGAGGUAUUUG
This 347-nucleotide unclassified non-coding RNA is filed under the name Hevea brasiliensis (rubber tree). The record is from RNAcentral. Lineage: Eukaryota; Viridiplantae; Streptophyta; Magnoliopsida; Malpighiales; Euphorbiaceae.